RNAcentral lists this transfer RNA (321 nucleotides) under Tetragenococcus halophilus. RNAcentral's name for it is "16S-23S ribosomal RNA intergenic spacer 6". The stretch from base 67 to 139 matches the Rfam family "tRNA". Lineage: Bacteria; Bacillati; Bacillota; Bacilli; Lactobacillales; Enterococcaceae. The record is from RNAcentral.
AAGGAAACAUACGGAAGGUCGACACAUCGUUUGCGCUUUGUUCAGUUUUGAGAGGUCUACCCGUAGGGGGCCUUAGCUCAGCUGGGAGAGCGCCUGCUUUGCACGCAGGAGGUCAGCGGUUCGAUCCCGCUAGGCUCCAUAAACGAUCGAUUUUAGAUCGUUUGUUUGGUUCUUUGAAAACUGGAUAGAAAAACAACAAUCAACACCAACCGAGAAUCCGCGUUGAACACGUUUUUUAACGAAGUUUACGCACAUGUUCGAAGGGCUUUGAUCGCUCAAAGCAAGCACCUUCGAGAAACCCUUGACCGCAAGGUCAAGUCA